GCCCCGCCUGUCCGAGGGUAGGC
RNAcentral lists this ribosomal RNA (23 nucleotides) under Mactra antiquata. Its description in RNAcentral is "partial 5.8S ribosomal RNA". The record is from RNAcentral. Lineage: Eukaryota; Metazoa; Mollusca; Bivalvia; Venerida; Mactridae.